UCCGACCCGUGACAAGCCACCAGGAAGGAGUAGCGUAUGCACGCAUCACCCCUCGCAGCCGCCAUCUAUAUCGAUCCACCCAUACCCUUUACCGACGAAGAAAUCGGCAGCGCCGCGCACGAGAAACACAUGCCCAGUGUGCGCGCCAUCGCGGUUGACCCCGAUCGCGGGCUGGUGCUGCUCAAUCUGAUCGGUGCGGAUACCUCGGUUUCCGCCGUGAUCAUGGAGUUGCUGAGGAGCAAGAGCAGCGGCGUCAGCUUCCUGUCCAGUCUGUUUGGCAGCCAGCAACCCAACAUCCCAACCCAGCUGACGAUUCAGUCGGGUAUCCGCUACACCACCUUCCGUAGCGCACUUGCCACAUCCGGUGGCUCGCUCAGUUUGAAAAAAUUGGUGUCUGCUGAUCGCCACCGCCAACCUCGCUGAGAGCCGCCGGCGCGCACCGACUAUUCCGCCGCAGCUGCUGCCGCCUCCACCGGCGACCGCCGAGACCGCACCCGCCGUACCGGCUAACACGCCACUCGCCGCGCCCGCCCCCACACUAUGUCAUCGGCGCGGCGACCGCCACCACAUCCGACCCGCACGCCCUGCUGGGCCAUCUGCGUACGAUCGGCGUGGUCGCGGCUGAUGCAUGGGCCGAGCCAGUGCGCGACCUCGCGCUCGACGCCCAACUCGUCACCCCACUACCCGCCGCUGGCGUGACGUGCUGGCGCAUCGACGGCGACCUGACGAAGUGGGUCGAGCUGGUCAGGCACGGCAUCCAGUCCCAGGGUUUCUCAAUCCCCGUACCGACCGCUGUUCAACAGCAACGCGCGGCAUAGCAUUGUACCCAUUCACACGCAUCAGAAACCGCAAUUGACGAAGGACGGUGGACAGCGAUCCAUCGUCCUUCGUCCUUCGUCUUCCGUCUUUCGUCCGUCACACAAGGAGCACACCCAUGGCUUUUGGAACCUUGCCCAAUAUCGCCAACGCCGGACACGAGCCCACACCCGACGCACGCGCCGAGCAGAUCGCACAUACCCUGCUCAAACUCCCCCGCCGCCACUUCACCGUGAUCGACGGCACCUGCGGCGAGGGCAAUCUGCUCGCACCAUUUCAAGGUAAUACGCAUGCUGAACUGAUCGGCAUCGAGAUCAACGGCAAAUGGGCCGAGCUCGCCGCCGAGCGAUUGCCUCAGGCCCAGAUUAUCACUGCUGCGCUUGAACAUGUCACGAUCAGCCCAAACAGCCUCAGCCUGGCACUCCUCAAUCCGCCCUACCUGGUCACCAACGGCGGCCGCAUGGAACUACAGGUGUUUCGCCAGCUAUGCGAUGCGGUGAUGUCGCACGGCGUGAUCGCGUGCAUCAUCCCGGCCCGCAGCGCCUGGGACAAACGCUUCAUCAGCGCCUGGGCGCGGCGGUGUUAUGACGUGCGCGCCU
RNAcentral lists this unclassified non-coding RNA (1415 nucleotides) under uncultured fungus. RNAcentral describes it as "sequence contains 18S rRNA gene, ITS1, 5.8S rRNA gene, ITS2, 28S rRNA gene". The record is from RNAcentral. Lineage: Eukaryota; Fungi.